CAGAAAAAAAACUUUAAUUUUGCAUAAUAACGUAUUAUUGUUAUUCUUUAUUACAUGCAACACUGUACAAAUAGAUGCUUAUCUCCUUACAAUGGGGUUACUUCCUAAUAAACCUGUUGUAAGUUGAAAAUAUAAUGUCAAGAAUGCAUUUAGUAAACCUAACCUACAAAGCCUCAUAGAUUAGCCUAGCCUACCUUAAACAUACUCAGCACAAUUCCAUCAGCCUACAGUUGGGCAAAAUCAUUUGGCAGCAUAGUACACUGCAGACAUCGACUGUUUACCCUCAUGAUUGCCUGGCUAGCUGGAAGCUUUGACUCGCUGCUAUGGUCUAGCAUCACUAGAGAGGAUUGUAGAGCACAUUGCUAGCCCAGAAAAAGAUCAAAAUAAAAUUCUAAGUAAGGUUUCUACUAAAUGUGUCUCACUUUCACACUAUCAUAAAGUAGAAAAAUCAAACCAUUGUUUAGUUGGGGAUCCUCCGUAUAUCGUGGGUAAUUUGCAUGUAAUCCUCUAAAGAGCCCUAAGGGUAAGGUACUAUUUUCAUCUCUAUCUUUCAUAUAGGAAAAUUUAAUCACAGAGAUAUUAAGUUAUUCCCCUAGAGUCACACAGCUAGUAAAACAAUUCUGCAGAAUAACUUUUAAUUAGUAAGCCUGCCAAACAUAGGUCAUACAUUAAAUGAAAACAGCUGAUUGAAAAGUGAUAAAUAUGAUAAGAUCCUAUUCUUAAAAAACUAAUUUAGAUAGAUCUAUAAAGUAUAAAAGGUUACAAAUCAAGAUCUGAACAGUGCUUCUCUCUGUUGAUAAACAUUUUGUUUUCUCACUUUUGUUAAUUAUUAUUUAAGCAUGGAAUGCACUUAUAUUUAUUUUUGAAAAUGGAUGAUUGAUGAAUCUUCAUUCACUGAAUACUAAAACACAGCAAAUUUAUAUAAAACAAACCAAGAAAGAUGUACCUAGAAUAUGAAGAGUUAUAGAUUUAUGGACACCAUCUGCUGCAACUUUUUCAGUAUUUGAACAUUUAAGAAAAAAAAUUAAGCUCUUAGAAGCUUUGAAUAUGAUGAACAAGCUUGAUCUAAAAUAUGCGUGAGUUAGCUCCCUACAAUGAUCUGAAAUCUAGACAUUCUCUAGAAAUUGCCUCUUUAGCCAAAGAGGAUAUUGUAAGUUGCACUACAAACUACUUGGUGAUAGCAAGGAAUAUUUGGUUCAAAAUUAGGCAUAAUGAUUCCCAUUGCAACGUGUCUUCAUUUUAUCAUAGACUUUUGUAAUAAAAAUAUUUUUAAAAACAGAUUUUUCUUUAAGGAAAAAAUAACAAUGCAUUAAAAUAUUUGAUUUUGAAUAGGGUGUGGUUUCCUAAGGAAUUUGAAUGACACUGGGUAGUCUUUGAAGAAUCAUUGAUGUUUAGGAAUACUUUUGUCUUCUGGGAGAAGAAUGUUGGCAUUUUCAGAGUUAGGCUUCAGGAAGAACACUCUAUCAACUGCAUGUAGGAGGAGAAAUUGGGGACCGGAAUACCACACAGAAGAUCAUGAUAACAAUUGAUUAGCAAGAGGGAUAAUACGUGCUAGGACUUCAAAGCAGAUGAAAACAAAUAUAGGGCAGAAGAAAACUAGGAAGGAUGCUUAGGGGUGCCGGGAUGAAGGGAAAGGUAGGGUGGCACAUCACAGCACCAGGUCCCAGGAAAACGUAGGGAGGUACAUCACAGCAACAGGAUUUCAGGAAAACGUAGGGAGGUACAUCACAGCAGCAGGUCUCAGUAAAAGGUAGGGAGGCACAUCCCAGCCCCAUGUCCCAGGGAAAGGUAGGGAGGCACAUCCCAGCACCAGGUCCCAGGAAAAGGUAGGGAGACACAUAACAGUAACAGGUCCUAGGAAAAGGUAGGGGGGCACAUCCCAGAAUCAAGUCUCAGGAAAAGGUAGGGAGGCACAUCCCAGCACCAGGUCCCAGGAAAUAAUAGGGAGACACGUCACAGCAAUAGGUCCCAGGAAAAGGUAGGGAGGCACAUCACAGCACCAGGUUCCAGGAAAGGGUAGGGAGGCACAUGCAAGCACCAGGUUCCUAAGAAAAGGUAGGAAGGCACAUCCCAGCACCAGGUCUCUAAAAAAAGGUAGGGAGGCACACCCCAGCACCAGGUCCCAGCAGGCUGAUUUUCAUUUAAAGUUUUGAUUUUAACUUUCUCAAAAUCUAUGUCUAUGGGUUACAGUUUUCUAGUGAUGGAAGGAAAUAAAAUAACCUAAAGAGAUGGUACUCAAUUUUUAUAUAACUGUAUUUACUCUAACUCUUGGCAUGCACCCUUAUCUUUCUCAAGUGUUUUCCCUCUGUUCCCACAACUCGGAUCAAGUAAGAGGCGUCUGUGCUAACUCACUUGACCUCAUUUGCGUGACUUCAAUAUCUCAAAAUUCUCCCUUAACAUAUUCUACAAAGGUUAUAUCAAAUCUCUAUCAUAAUUAGACUUAUUUCAGUUGGUAUUUGCAUUAUUUUUUCUUUUAUUCAAAUAGGUCAAGCUUAUUGGAUGACUAGUUUCCAUUUAGUUAGAAGAGAUUUUAGGAAAGACAACAUCUAAGCUAUGAUCUGAAAAUGGAAGAGAGAGAGAGAGACAGACAGAGAGAGAGAGAGAGAGAGAGAGAGAGAGAGUGGUCUGCUUUAAGAACUAAAUACAUAAUUAUGCAGAGUUGAACUAAUUGAAGUAUAGGUUUUACAAACCAAAGAGAAAUAAAUACAAUGAAUACUAAAGUAUUAAUUAACAAAAAUCAAUUAAGAAAUGUAUUUGUCUUUAAAUUUUAGAUUUUUAAGUUGAAGUUCAAAGUAAAUCACUGAAGCCAUGCCUACUGAUCUAAAAUUAUCUGGUAGUGUCAGCAAAAUAAAAUUGUAUUUACAUAAUUAUGGGUGAUACCUCAUUGAUAUAACUAAAUAGGAUUCAAUAGCAGCAUUUUUCAGUAAUUGAAACAAUCACAGUCCAAAAGAGGUUGAAAGGCACUAUGAAUAAAAGAGUCAGUUGUACAUCAUUAGAAAGAUUUAAGUGACACCCAGUUAAUACUGUAGAAUUACACACUUUUGUAGAACAGAAUAUAUUUUGAGAAAUGGAUGAGAAAAAAAUGGAUAUUAAUGACAGGGAUCUGUGGGCAGUGAAAAGGAUUGAAGUCAAAUGACAUAUAAAAGAAACACCACAUGUUUCAACAGUUUGUGUGUCCAAGGUGGGCGUGUGGAGAGUGGGUGGGGGUUAUGGGAACUCAUCAACACUCCAAUAUUGAGGGAUGACAAAAGGGAAAAUACACUGUGUCUGCUAUUUAUUUGUGGGAUAGGAAAGAGGAAACAAACUCAGAGUCCAUUGAGCUCCACGUGCUUUGCCUCAUAUCCAUUUAGAAAGUCCAGGGUAAACGUAAAACUGAAUUGACUCCCAAGUCUCCUGACUACUCUAAUUUUAUUUUUUAACAAAGCCAGAAUUCUCAAUGGUUUUGGGUCUUUUGUGUGUGUGUGUGUGUGUGUGUGUGUGUGUGUUUUCUCUCUCUCUUUGUUAAAUUUGUGUCUGACCUGUGUCUUGGGUUUGCAGUCAAAUAUGUCUUCCCAUCAUUAUUGCUCACUUUUUCUAGUAGCUUGACUGCAGUGGCUCACUACGGGCCUCAGAUCAGCAUCACACCUGCUGCCAUUUAUUUAACCAAUUCAUAUAUCCUUUCAUAUAUGCCACCUACUGUGCUAAACACUUUACAAAUUUUAACCCAUUUGAUUGUCAAAGUAACUUUAUGAGGGAGACAGGCAGUAGUGUCAUCAAUCACCCACACUUUAACGAUGUGCAAAGCAAGGACUUGAAGCUUGCCUCAUUUCCCACAGCUGGUAAACACGAUUCAAUGUUGUGUUCGCACUCCUGAGACUAUGCUCUUCACCCAGCUACUCCGUUUUCUCCCACAUCAGCAUUCCUCUCUUAGAUGCUUUAAAUUAAAUAAUUCCUCCUGAGCCCCAGAAGAAAAAUGUUUUAAAAAUGCAUUCAAAUUCAACUGGUCCAAGUGGUUCUUUUAUUUUUUCCAAGAAAACUCAGUACGCUCAUAUGACAUAGAUAUUCUGUAGCAACAUUUGCAAACCUCUGCUUACCAGUGAAAAGCAAACUUUGCAGUUCAAGACCUAAGUUCAUGAAGAAAUUAAAAACACAUGAAUUAUGUGAGAUUUAAAUCUUUCAAAUACAUUAUCACGUUCCUACUUUAAAAGUCUAUUUUAGGUCAAAUGAUAUAUGUAUAUGUGUGUGUGUAUAUAAAUAUCUCUCUUACACAUGCAUACCACACACACAUAAUAUUCUCUCUCUCUAUAUAUAUAUAUGUAUGUAUGUAAAUAUAUCUCACACACACCACACACAAUAUUCUCUCUAUAUGUGUGUGUGUGUGUGUGUGUACGUACAUAUGACAUCACAGAAUAUUGCCAGGAUUAUUAUUAUCAACGCUGCAAUGCUCAGUAUUAUUUAAAAAAUCAUGGUGGUCUGGUACAGGUAUUGACAUAUUGGUUGUAGUUGUCUGAUCUUUCCAGCAGCAGCUGCUGGGCUUUUAGAUGGAGAGAAGCCUUUGCUGCCACAUCAGACAAUAGUUUUGUGACAGAUGUUUCAUGUUCGAUUGAAGGAGCACAGAUGAAAAUAACAGUCCCUCCAUGCUUGUGAGACCACAGUUGAAAAUGAGCAGUUGUCCCCCUUCCAGACAACUGCCAUCAAACCCACAGAACCUUGAAAUAAUUUGCAGCCUGCUCUGCACUAAAAUGAGACUCACAUAGUCCAUGAGGCUGGCGAGCUGUAGUCUACAGAAACACAGAAGAGUCCAUUUUCCUUUUCUGAAAAUUCAGCUGUUACAACCAAUGAUUGACAACUAAUGAUAAAAACUGUCUCGAAGAUUUUGGUUAUUUGCUGUUUUCAAAUUUAUACAUAUAUAUGUGUGUUUCUAUAUACACAUAUAUAUGUAUAAAUUGUUAUUAUGUAUACAUUUUAAAAAACAGAUAAUUAUGACAAAAAGAAGCCAUUAAUAAUCCUAGUAGAGAUAGCCAUUGUUAACAUCAUGGUGUUUGUCCUUCCCCAUACACACACACACAAAUGCCCUUUUAGCUAUAAACAUAUGAGCUUAGCAUACAUAGUUUUAUAACUUCAUUUUUUCAGUUUUUUUGUAAAGAGCAAGAUAGCAAAUAUUUUAGGAUUUGCUGCCUAGAUAGUCUCUGUCACAGCUGCUCAAGUUGGCCACUGUGUGGUAAAAGCAGCCACAGACAAUGGUUAAAUAAAUGGGUGUGGCUGCAUUCCAAUAAAACUUUAUUGACACAAAUAGAAAAUGUUCCAGAAUUGGCCUGUGUGUCAUGAUUACCCAUGUUGGCCUAUACUGUUAUUUUAAUGGCUACAUAAUCUUCCAUACUAUGGAGAUGGCAUGAUUUAUUUUAGCUUUUUGCUCUGGUGAGAUAUUCCUUGUGCUUUUAGCCUUUUGUUAUAUCUAUCUGUCUAUCUAUCAAUCAAUCAAUCUAUCUAUCUAUCUAUCUAUCUAUCUAUCAAUCAUCUGUCUGUCUAUCUAUCUAUCUAUCUAUCUAUCUAUCUAUCUAUCUAUCUAUCUAAGCUUCUGGCCUGCCAAGGAUUCUACUGCAGUCAUGUUGCCCAGUACAGUGGCUAGUAUACCAGGGGGCUAGCUUUCCUGCCCAUUAACAACUCUUCCAACCUGAUUGGACUUCCAGGCCUUUUCCUUCCUUGGUAAGCCUUGGAUUACCUCCAUUGAUUGUCUCAAGUGUAUACCACUUUAUGAGAGAGAUUGAUUCAAGACAUUCUUUAACUGGUAUGCUAUUUUAUUAUGGCCCUAUCUGCACCAAUUUUGCAGAUAUUCUGCAAAUUUUUCAGCCUUUUUCAGCUAGGGUUUUACAUAGCUUAGAAGGUCAAUGAAGUUUAUUUCUCAUAUUCUCACAUUUCCUGAGUCUUAAGGACAGGAGGGAGAGUCAAACAUUUGUCUCUGUACUCUUCCUGAAAGACCUGUCCAUUUAGUUUUUCAGUCCAUGUUUCUAUGCUAAUGUUAUUUAAAUGUGCAUUAUUUGAACUGUGCCUCAGUGUCUGCAUUACUGCAUUGAAAACGAUAGGAAAAGGUUACCAUAAAGUGUCUCUGUUUCUCCUUUUUUAUUUCUAACUCCAUUAUUCUUUUUGUUGAAUACGUUAAUAGAAUUGUUUGGCCUUUUUUUUACAUAUCUGUUUGUUUUGCAAUUUGUAUUAUCUAUGCCAGGAAAUUCUGGGUUUGAAAAUGAGAUCUUUUGUGAUAUUGAGUUUAUGGCUAGUGUUUUCAUUUUUGUUGUUUCUUGAGUCAUGGUUUGUGUAUUCUACAGAGAUGUAGAGUUCGCUUAACUGACCCCAACCCCCACCCCCAUGCCCCAAUAAAGCAUAAUUGGAUAGAGGCUGCUACCAAAAACAAAGACAAAAAACAAACCAAAAUAAAACAAAACAAAAGAAUGGAAAAGAAAACAAAACAGUUUGGCCUAAGAGACAGUAGGUCUUUCAGCAAACUUUGUCAAUGUACAUGGAUUGCUGUGGUGAUAGCUGUCAGGAAGUAGGAGUG
Molecule: non-coding RNA, 6532 nt
Organism: Chlorocebus sabaeus (green monkey)
Lineage: Eukaryota; Metazoa; Chordata; Mammalia; Primates; Cercopithecidae
Source: RefSeq, a predicted model, not a curated record